CUUCAACUGCGGAUGAAAUUGAUACACCAAUGAGAAUUAUGCAUUUAUCGAAUACAUGCUAUUCUUCAAUUAUUUAUAUAGAAACUAGGCAAGAGUUGAGGCAAAAUAAUUUUGGCUUUUACAUGAACAACUAACCCGAAAAAUAAAUGUUGUUUUGAAAAGCACAUAGGGGGGAGAGAUGGGAGACGUUGCUUCUACAAACUUUAUGGUGUAUGGAACAGUACAAGAAUUUUUCUAUCUUUAUAGAUGUCAGAUAAUUUCCAACACCAAAAUGUCAAUAGCCCACGUUUCUCAGAAAGUUCUUAUGACGGAUCAUCGAAGAAUCCUUUAGGAAAGCCAUGGCCGAGGCCUUGGUUUGCUUCGUUCACUUCUGAUAGUCAAUCUUAUCUCCUGCCUAGCUUCUAACAAAAAUCGACCUGUGUAUGGAAACAAAUUGGAAAGAACUGGAAUACUACUCACACUUAAUCGACCUGUAUAUGUGACGAAUAAAGAAUAGCGAGGCACGGAAACCCACUGUCCCAAGCAUGAGAAAGAAGCCAUAGCAUAUGCAGGCCAUGUACCCAAAGAAGAAAGAGGUUUGCAUGAAGCCAGACAUAUCAGAUCGUGCAUAAUAGUAGUACAAGCAAUAAGCAUAGAUAAAUAGCCCAGUCGAACCACCGCAGAGAAAAGACCUCCACCACCAUUCAUGAUCUUCAGCAGCAAGUUGAAAGUAUGUCAAAGCCACAGUUAUGAAAGCAGUGACAAUCAGAAGAAUAAUGAAGACAAUAAACAGUAUGCUGUAAAUGGUAUAAAUCCUGUGUCCCCAAACACUGGCAAAAAUGUAGUAUAGCUCAAUGUAAAUAGCACUAAAAGGCAGAAAACCUGCCAUUGCCAUCUGAGGAAAAGCACUCCUGUACCAUGGCAAUAUUGGAAUCUCCCGAGGAUAUUUUGUGGUGCGACAAGGGGCUUGAAACUCAGCCUCGCUAUUUUUGCCAGCAAUGCCACCCAAUACAAGUAAUGGAGACGUUACCAAUGUCCAUAUAAGGAAUAUUACCACAAUAGUGCCAGAAGGCAAUGCAGCAGUUGCACUGUAAAUUAUGGCAACAGAGUUGAGAAAGCAAAAUGUGAGGAAAAAGGGUCCACAGAAAAGGCAUCCUGUCAGCAAAAGAUUCCUCACCUGUCGACGCAGAAAACGGGAACUUGUUUCAGCUUGAAAAAUCUAGCUCUUGAAAGAACCAAACAAAAGCCAUAUAAGCAUACCCAGUUCUUUCCUUCCAGCUGACAAUAGAAAGAGGUUGCUGUAUAUCCAGCAAUCCCAGAAGUCAGUGCGUAUAUGACUACCAGUGCAGUAAAUAGAGCUCCUCGGUUAUAUGGAUAAAAUACACCAACCAGUGCAAGAAUGAAAAUAAAUACAGUGAGAAUGAACAGCUGGGUCCCAGACCCAAGGGCUGCAGCAAAUAAUGACUUGAACUUUGGAUAUCUAAAUACAUCACCGUGGAUGUACUUCCAUCCAGUCUCUUCCUGAUCAUCAGCUGCUUCCUCAUCUUGUGCAUACUUCACAAAAUCAUUCUUCAAGACCCGCAUGAGAAUGGUAGCAAGAAAACCAGUCAGAAGGAGAACUGUCACACAUGAGUUUAUAAUGGAGAACCAAUGGAUUUCCAAGUGAUGAGGCAGUGAAGAAGACAGUGAGUACUUUUCCAUUCUCUUCUCAAAGGGAGUAUCUGUUUCCUUCCACUUCACAGUAUAAAGAAACUCCGUUUCAACUUCCUUGUCCUCCGUCAGAUCCAACAGUGAAUGAGGAUCCAUCCGCACACUCACUUCAAUCACACGGUCCUUAUUGUAAAGAACAUCGAACUGGAUAUGCUUGUAAAGGAAGUAUCUGUACUCGCUUGGGUCAGUCUUGCCUUCCUUGUCAACUUUUCCUAUGAAGCCCCAGAUGGGCAGAUCAUCAUAGUACAUUUGGAAGUAAUAGUCUUUGUCAAUUGCAGAUCUGAACCUUGCAACUUCCUCCUUUGUAAGUGUCUUCUUACAAACAACUGAGGAGGUUUUCUCAUCUCUGAAGUUUAGUUUGUACGGAGCACUGACUAGACGGUCUCCAUUCAACACCUCACCAAGAGCUUCUGUUUUCUCUUUCAGGUGUUCUGCCAUUAAAAUUCACUCAAACAUCAAAAAGACAAAUGGGCGAAAUUAUCUCGUCCCAAUAAAAUUUCAUCUUGAAGGUUCAAAAUUUCUUGCCAUGCUAUCCUUUUAGCAGACUUGGUGUCCAACAAAGCUGAAUAGCGAAAAAUAGUCUACACAGCUGACCCCAACUAAUUUGGGAUUAAGCCUUAGUUGUUGUAGUUGUUCCUAUCCUUUUUAGCUUCAAAAUCAAUUAUAAAACAUGCAAACAAAUAAAAAGCCCGUUGCGUUUAAAUUAAAUGUAGUCUAACAAAAUAAUAGAUAUUAAAACCUCCUAAUCGUCUUGGUUUUUUUUAACAGGUAUGAAAAGAUUAUGUCCACUCUAAACAAGCAGCUUACUCAACAAGUUUCAAAUGUUGCAAAUGGAAAGAUCUCCUAGAAGAUAAACAAAAUUUACCAUGAAAACAUAAAUAACAAAAAAAUAAUAAUGCAUAAAAACAUAUUCCGCUAUAAAUGGAAGAUGAAGCACAAGCAGAGACAACAACCUGGAACACAGAAGGGCAGAUCGAAAUAGCGAUACGUUUCACUGGGGUUGUGAAAAGGGCCAACCUUGUUGGCGUAUAGAGGAACAGGGUCACCCUCCUUGUAUCGGUGGUCGGAGGCGUCCGAUCUGACGUGAGUUACAGAAGGGGCAACUAGAACGGCAAGGAGGAAGAGGAGGAGAGUGUUAAAGGGAUUGUCCAUGGUUGUUGGUUUAGCUUCUCUCCUCUUCGUUCUUAUGGAAGUAACAGCACAGAGGAUCUAAUAAGAGAAGAGCAAGGGCUUUAUUUACCAUUACUUGAAAAUCACUCAAGAUCGUUCGGCUUUAGCUUUCACGCUCUACUUAUUUCCGAUCCCCAGACAAGAUCGGUGGAGAAUGGAAAAUAA
Molecule: unclassified non-coding RNA, 3024 nt
Filed under: Hevea brasiliensis (rubber tree)
Lineage: Eukaryota; Viridiplantae; Streptophyta; Magnoliopsida; Malpighiales; Euphorbiaceae
Source: RNAcentral